UAGGGAAUCUUCGGCAAUGGACGAAAGUCUGACCGAGCAACGCCGCGUGAGUGAAGAAGGUGUUCGGAUCGUAAAACUCUGUUGUUAGAGAAGAACAAGGACGUUAGUAACUGAACGUCCCCUGACGGUAUCUAACCAGAAAGCCACGGCUAACUACGUGCCAGCAGCCGCGGUAAUACGUAGGUGGCAAGCGUUGUCCGGAUUUAUUGGGCGUAAAGCGAGCGCAGGCGGUUUCUUAAGUCUGAUGUGAAAGCCCCCGGCUCAACCGGGGAGGGUCAUUGGAAACUGGGGGACUUGAGUGCAGAAGAGGAGAGUGGAAUUCCAUGUGUAGCGGUGAAAUGCGUAGAUAUAUGGAGGAACACCAGUGGCAAAGGCGGCUCUCUGGUCUGUAUCUGACGCUGAGGCUCGAAAGCGUGGGGAGCAAACAGG
This 429-nucleotide ribosomal RNA is filed under the name Gemmatimonadota bacterium. RNAcentral describes it as "Gemmatimonadetes bacterium partial 16S ribosomal RNA". It matches the Rfam family "Bacterial small subunit ribosomal RNA", at positions 355 to 776 of the family's 1533-position model. Lineage: Bacteria; Pseudomonadati; Gemmatimonadota. The record is from RNAcentral.